This 2596-nucleotide long non-coding RNA is filed under the name Acyrthosiphon pisum (pea aphid). RNAcentral describes it as "uncharacterized LOC103309683, transcript variant X1". The record is from RNAcentral. Lineage: Eukaryota; Metazoa; Arthropoda; Insecta; Hemiptera; Aphididae.
UUCUAAAACAUAAUAUUCAUUUAAAUUUAAAAAAUUUGAUAUAUUUAUCUAAAUUUAAAUAUUUUUCUCUACACAGUUUAUUUUAAAACCCAAGAAUAACAUUUUUGCAUUUAUUAUCUAUAUUUUGUUUUAAACAAAUUUAUCACAGUCUUAAAAUACAAUGUUUUCUAAUAACUAUCAUCAUGAAUUCCUAAAAAAAAAAAAUCAAUCACAUUAGAGGAAUAAGUAAAAGUAAAGUGGACAUUGACUGUUAAUGUCGAUUUAGUCGAUUAAUGUCGACAGUUAAAAACAACAUAAGGAGAAAAUAUGUCGAAUUUGUUGAAAUUUAAUUAGUCCAAAUAUUACCAACUAAGUAAUUUUUUUUUCUCUUUUUUUCUCGUGAAAAAUGUUUAUAAUUCUGAGUAAGUACUAUAUUUAGAAUUAAUUGUUAAAAUAGUUAUAUUACCAGUCUGUUAAGUAUUAUAUAAGAUUUAAGUCACUAAUGUAACUCGGUACCUACUAAAAUUUCAAACACGACUUUGUUUCAUCAGGUACCUAAAUAAUUUUCAAAGAUAAAUUAGUAUCAUUUAAAAUUCUUUGAAACAUACGUAAUUAGUUUAAAAAUCUAUUGAAUUUUUUUUAUGUAAUAUGUAAGACUAAUAUUUGACCAUGUUGCAUCGAACAAACUGCCUGUAUAAAUCUUGAAAAAAAAAAAUGCUGAUUCGUGUAGAAUAACUAUUAUGAGAAGAUUAAUCCUUGAUACAUUUCCACAAUAUGUCAAUAUACUAUAAUGAGUCAAUUUGGAAUUGUCUUGUCAUCAAGAAAUUAGUUUUAUUUAAUUAAGUAUACAAAUUUAGAGUUAAAAUUAACAAAUUCAAGGAACAAAACAUUCAAAGUAGAUAUUCGUGAUUAUUAGCAACCUAGUAUCAAUAUAUUCAGGCUAUGGACUACAGUAUUAACAUGUUAGUUAUUUUAUUUUAUUCAAUUCUACCCUAAAAUUAAAACUGUUUGAAAUAAAUGGCCAACAGAAGUCGGAUUUUUAAUGACAAAAUUGUAGCACAAAGAUAUCAUUCCAUUUUCAUACAUUUUUUUGAUAAGAAAAUGUGCAGCACACUGAAAUACUAUCGAAUAUAUUCAUUUCAUAAAAACAUUUUAUUAGAAGCAGGUAUUAAAUUUUAUUAUAUUUUGGUAAAUAACUAACUUUGGAAGACUGCAUAACCAACCGUGUUCAUUUGUUGGCUUAAAGUUACCAUUACUCCAAUAUCAAGUUUAAGCUAAUGGCUGCAGGAGCAGAAACAAUGAAGUCAACUAUGAAAAAUAAUAAUAAUUUUUGUACACAAGUGUAUACAUUGUCGUGCAAGUGCAUAGCUAAGAUAUGGUUGGGCCACUUUUAUCUUUUUUAUUGUUCGGUGGCCACCCUACUUUUUUGUUAUUAAUAUCCUCAAGGCUGAUUGAGUCAAAUCUUAAGUUCAACAAUAUAACAGGCUUGUUCACACUUCAACCUAAAGUAAGAGUAACAAAACUUAAGUUUUAUGAAAAAUCAAUUAUAUUUGUGUUAUAAAUUAUGUAAUCUUUUGUCUGUCAGAUAGGUGCAGUAAAGUCCAACAGCCUAGUAAAUUUUGAACUUUAAAUAUUGUUAUUUUUUUAAAAAAAAGAAAAGUAAGGUUUUUUAUGAAUGCAGACUUUACCUCAGAUCUUUUCCAUUUAAAAAUUUAGGAUGUAAAAAUAUGAAAAAAUCAAAUAAUAUGUUGAAUAACAAUUUCUUCAAAUCGAUAAAUGCCAUAGAAAAAUAAGGCAACUAACGCACAAAAAUUAUAACGUUAUUUUUUCAUAAUCAGAGUUUCAACAAUAUUAUUAAUUGCUAAUUAAACUAAAGUUCAAGAUUUCCAGAUUAGAAUAUAAAUAUUAAAAAUAUUAUUACAUAAAGAGUACGCUGUUAAUUAUGAAGAAACUGCUCAGCAAGACUGAUCAAAAUCUUAACUAAACUUAGUUAUUGACUCUAUCAAACAAUCCGAAGAAAAGGUGUUUGGGUUAUCAUUUCCUAACCUAACCAGGACACAUAGUACAUAUAACAAUCAGUCGGCAAAACAUUUCAUUUGACCAUAAUUGGGUCACAAAAAUCAUACUUAAUGAUGCAAUCAUGUCAAACUUAUUAUUUGGUCAAAUAAUCGAUUACUUGAAUAAUGUUUUCAAGUUAUAGAUUAAAUAAAUAAUAAAAAAAAAAAAAAAUGUACUCAAUGGUCCUUUAUACAACUUUUUUUAAUGUUUCCUUUCCGUUUUAAAUACUGAUUUGUACAAUGUUUUUUUUUUAAAUUUAUGUUUUAGUGGUAAUGUUUCCUAAUUUAUUAUGGUCGUUAUUGAUCUCAAUAUUAUAAUAAUUUAUAAUUUUUGUGCUGCCCCUUUGAGGAUUAAUGUAAAUAAUAACAGUAAUAAUUUUAAGAUUUUAUUUAUACUACUAUUAUUUUCAUUAUUAUUAUUAUUUUUUUUGUUAUAGCUUUCAUUUGUUAUUAAUAGUAUUGAUAAUCCAAAUGUUACAUUAUCUUUUGUACAGGGGAACUAUAAUAUAACAUAGGCUAUUAAAAUAAAAAUACAUUCAAUUAUUUAAUAUUUUAAAAAG